CCUACGGGAGGCAGCAGUGGGGAAUUUUGGACAAUGGGCGCAAGCCUGAUCCAGCCAUGCCGCGUGCAGGAUGAAGGCCUUCGGGUUGUAAACUGCUUUUGUACGGAACGAAAAGACUCUGGUUAAUACCUGGGGUUCAUGACGGUACCGUAAGAAUAAGCACCGGCUAACUACGUGCCAGCAGCCGCGGUAAUACGUAGGGUGCAAGCGUUAAUCGGAAUUACUGGGCGUAAAGCGUGCGCAGGCGGUUAUAUAAGACAGAUGUGAAAUCCCCGGGCUCAACCUGGGAACUGCAUUUGUGACUGUAUAGCUAGAGUACGGUAGAGGGGGAUGGAAUUCCGCGUGUAGCAGUGAAAUGCGUAGAUAUGCGGAGGAACACCGAUGGCGAAGGCAAUCCCCUGGACCUGUACUGACGCUCAUGCACGAAAGCGUGGGGAGCAAACAGGAUUAGAUACCCUGGUAGUCCACGCCCUAAACGAUGUCAACUGGUUGUUGGGUCUUCACUGACUCAGUAACGAAGCUAACGCGUGAAGUUGACCGCCUGGGGAGUCGGCCGCAAGGUUGAAACUCAAUGAAUUGACGGCUGAGAGNGCGAGCGACGACGAGGGAGGAGG
This 614-nucleotide ribosomal RNA is filed under the name uncultured bacterium. RNAcentral's name for it is "bacterial SSU rRNA". It matches the Rfam family "Bacterial small subunit ribosomal RNA", at positions 338 to 947 of the family's 1533-position model. The record is from RNAcentral.